UUACGCGCUGUUUUCCCAGGUAACACAUCCGUUUGCAUUGAAAUAAAUCCUUUGGAAGCGCUAAUAGCUGCUAACAGCGUUUAAACACAAUGUAUGUUUAACAGGACGAAACGCGGCCACCUUCAAACUAGCAGAGCAGAAGCCACCCUCCUCCUCCACCCAGCUCAGAACGGGACACGAGAUCCUGCUGACAGCGCUUGGGAUUAAAUACCCAACAAGGCAUUUAUUGUAACAGAGAAAGGACUGGAGCCAGGCGGGAACCAGUAACAGGAAGGGAAGGUGCUGAAGAAACCUGUCUCGCAGUGAAGAUUUCAGCUGCCAGCCAGAGAGAUGGGGUCUGGUGAAGAUGACUGCGCUACAUGGCGGUUAUUUGAAUCAAAUAAGGUUUUGGUUGGUGAUGGCUGCAGGAACUGUGAAUCACCAGCAGACAAAGAGUAAUGGAAAUGUUUCCUCUAGCAUGAAGAGAAGGGAGAGGAUGUAAAAGACCUCAGCAUUUAUGCUAAGCACCAAGUUCUUUUUUCUAUAAAAAACAAUAAGCUUUGAUACUAUAACAAAUAAUUAAAACCUAGUAUUUAAAGAGUUACGUUGGUCAAAUAAAGUAAAACCAAGCCUU
Molecule: long non-coding RNA, 613 nt
Organism: Pezoporus occidentalis (night parrot)
Lineage: Eukaryota; Metazoa; Chordata; Aves; Psittaciformes; Psittacidae
Exons: 2
Source: RefSeq, a predicted model, not a curated record